Molecule: ribosomal RNA, 457 nt
Filed under: Escherichia coli
Lineage: Bacteria; Pseudomonadati; Pseudomonadota; Gammaproteobacteria; Enterobacterales; Enterobacteriaceae
Description: partial 23S ribosomal RNA
Rfam family: Bacterial large subunit ribosomal RNA
Source: RNAcentral
GGCAGGUUGAAGGUUGGGUAACACUAACUGGAGGACCGAACCGACUAAUGUUGAAAAAUUAGCGGAUGACUUGUGGCUGGGGGUGAAAGGCCAAUCAAACCGGGAGAUAGCUGGUUCUCCCCGAAAGCUAUUUAGGUAGCGCCUCGUGAAUUCAUCUCCGGGGGUAGAGCACUGUUUCGGCAAGGGGGUCAUCCCGACUUACCAACCCGAUGCAAACUGCGAAUACCGGAGAAUGUUAUCACGGGAGACACACGGCGGGUGCUAACGUCCGUCGUGAAGAGGGAAACAACCCAGACCGCCAGCUAAGGUCCCAAAGUCAUGGUUAAGUGGGAAACGAUGUGGGAAGGCCCAGACAGCCAGGAUGUUGGCUUAGAAGCAGCCAUCAUUUAAAGAAAGCGUAAUAGCUCACUGGUCGAGUCGGCCUGCGCGGAAGAUGUAACGGGGCUAAACCAUGCAC